RNAcentral lists this ribosomal RNA (451 nucleotides) under uncultured Gammaproteobacteria bacterium. RNAcentral's name for it is "bacterial SSU rRNA". It matches the Rfam family "Bacterial small subunit ribosomal RNA", at positions 9 to 498 of the family's 1533-position model. Lineage: Bacteria; Pseudomonadati; Pseudomonadota; Gammaproteobacteria. The record is from RNAcentral.
GAGUUUGAUCGUGGCUCAGGAUGAACGCUGGCGGCAGGUCUGACACAUGCAAGUCGAACGGUAAGGGAGCAAUCCCCUAGAGUGGCGAACGGCUGAGUAACACGUAGGAACCUACCCUCGGGUUCGGGAUAACAGAUCGAAAGAACUGCUAAUACCGAAUAUAUCCGCAAGGAGGAAAGAUUUAUCACCCGAGGAGGGGCCUGCGGCGUAUUAGCUUGUUGGUGGGGUAACGGCCUACCAAGGCAGUGAUGCGUAGCUGGUCUGAGAGGACGAUCAGCCAGACUGGGACUGAGACACGGCCCAGACUCCUACGGGAGGCAGCAAUUAGGAAUCUUUUCGCAAUGGGGGAAACCCUGACGGAGCGACGCCGCGUGCAGGAGGAAGGCCUUCGGGUUGUAAACUGCUUUUAUCUGCGACGAUUAUGACGGUAGCAGAAGAAUAAGGACCUGCU